GCAGUGGCCACCAUUGCGGCAGAUGGGACCCACUGCAAAUCUGCCUCCUCCUUGUUGGCAUCUUGGUCUCUUUCAGAAAUGACAAGAGGUGGCUGGAAGUUAGACUCUCAGGGGCGGAACUUUGCUCAAAUUCUCUAAUAAUCUAUCAACUUCCGCAGCUCUGUGUGGCUUUCCCUCCUCUCCAGAGGGAAGGGUGUCUGGCGUUUCCCAAUCCCACGGCACUGGGGGGACUGUGACAUUGAUGGUGCCCAAGGCAGCUGUGAAGAGUGAGCCCCACAGCUGGCUGUUUAGAGGAGCGAGUCCGGCCAAAGCCAACGUGCCGAGGUCAGAGUGACUCGCACCCAAAUCCUGUCCCCACAACUAAAACCUUCUGACCAGAAGGACAGUGUUCUAAUCACAACCACAUAUUUUAUCUAUUCUGUUCCUAAUUGAGAAUGCUUUGCCAUGUCCUUUCUGAGCCUUUUUUACAUUAAUUUCCAUAGAAACUGCAUGCAGCUUUACCUCAAUUACUGCCAAUAAACGUGAGCUCCUGGGACUGGCCAGGGCAGUGUCGCUUGCACCGGCAUUGGUUGUCUUGGCCCCCCACUUUCUUUCUUUUAGUUCUGUCUCUUAAGUGUAUUUCUCAGACCUGCACUUCACUGGGCAGAUGGGGACCAGAGACUUCCUGUCAGAGUCUUCAGAAAUUGGUGCCCAUCGUGGGGGCUCGAGCCACGUGCAAUCACCUGCUCAGAGAAGCUACUCAGAAUAAAAAAAAGAAAAAAAGAAAAGAAUCCGCAAUGCAGUGCACCUUGCAUCAAGAUAAGGAAGUCCAAGCCAGAAGCAAAACCGGGAAAAGGAGAUGUGAAUGACGCCCAGGUUACAGGCUUGGACGGGGUACAAAACUUGGCUCUUCUGCGAUCUGAUAAGUUAUGGAGCCGGAACAGGAUUCUCAUGUGUGCCGAUCCUGUGGCUGGAUCUGUCUUCACUCCUCCCUUCCCCAGCGAGCCGGGAAGUAGGGUCUCCAGCUCUUCGGUUAAGAAGCUGCCGGGAAGAGGUGCGAUGAAAAAUAAUAGUGACUGCUGCUUGCAAGAGCCAUCCCACAGAAAGACAGCUCGUAAAACUUCUACCUCACUCACUGGAUCUGGCACCAGGUGGCACCUGACUCUUCCCCAGAGUCAAACAAACAUCUCCCCUGGCUGCAGUUGCCUCCUGCAUUGUCCAGCUCAGCCCAAGCUGGGUCACCACAGGAGAUGGACAGGCAGACCACUGCGGGCUGUGUCCCAGAACACAGGCACGUCUGCCCAAGCCCAUGCUGGGCUCCAUGGAAGAGCUUGUUCUGGGUGCUGGGUGAGGGGAAUGUGUGUGAAGCCAGGACUGUGUUUUGCAAAGAGCGAGCAAGUCUCCCUGACACAGCCCCACCGUGGCCCAGGUCAGUCUGUCCUGCCGCAAGGUGACCCACCACCGGAGCACACACCCCAGGGCUUCGGGUAG
RNAcentral lists this long non-coding RNA (1470 nucleotides) under Fukomys damarensis (Damara mole-rat). RNAcentral describes it as "lncRNA (ENSFDAG00000026697.1)". Lineage: Eukaryota; Metazoa; Chordata; Mammalia; Rodentia; Bathyergidae. The record is from RNAcentral.